GACGAACGCUGGCGGCGUGCUUAACACAUGCAAGUCGAACGGAAAGGCCCUGCUUUUGUGGGGUGCUCGAGUGGCGAACGGGUGAGUAACACGUGAGUAACCUGCCCUUGACUUUGGGAUAACUUCAGGAAACUGGGGCUAAUACCGGAUAGGAGCUCCUGCUGCAUGGUGGGGGUUGGAAAGUUUCGGCGGUUGGGGAUGGACUCGCGGCUUAUCAGCUUGUUGGUGGGGUAGUGGCUUACCAAGGCUUUGACGGGUAGCCGGCCUGAGAGGGUGACCGGCCACAGUGGGACUGAGGUACGGCCCAGACUCCUACGGGAGGCAGCAGUGGGGAAUAUUGCACAAUGGGCGGAAGCCUGAUGCAGCAACGCCGCGGGCGGGAUGACGGCCUUCGGGUUGUAAACCGCUUUCGCCUGUGACGAAGCGUGAGUGACGGUAAUGGGUAAAGAAGCACCGGCUAACUACGUG
Molecule: ribosomal RNA, 468 nt
Filed under: uncultured bacterium
Lineage: Bacteria
Description: partial 16S ribosomal RNA
Rfam family: Bacterial small subunit ribosomal RNA
Source: RNAcentral